GGCCUUGUAGUCAAUAAUGAUAUUAGACUGCAAUUCUAAAGGAGUAAAAUUUUACUAAGGCUU
RNAcentral lists this transfer RNA (63 nucleotides) under Bactrocera oleae (olive fruit fly). RNAcentral describes it as "tRNA-Cys". The record is from RNAcentral. RNAcentral also lists the same sequence under 2 other names. Lineage: Eukaryota; Metazoa; Arthropoda; Insecta; Diptera; Tephritidae.